Molecule: long non-coding RNA, 99 nt
Organism: Sapajus apella (tufted capuchin)
Lineage: Eukaryota; Metazoa; Chordata; Mammalia; Primates; Cebidae
Exons: 5
Source: RefSeq, a predicted model, not a curated record
CCUAUAUAUGGAUCUAGAUAUAUCACGUGAUGUAUAUCUAAAUGCAUAUAUAUGUAUACACAUAUGUGCACAGGAGAGGCUCAUAUACAUGUAUUUAAU